RNAcentral lists this ribosomal RNA (438 nucleotides) under uncultured bacterium. RNAcentral's name for it is "bacterial SSU rRNA". It matches the Rfam family "Bacterial small subunit ribosomal RNA", at positions 30 to 475 of the family's 1533-position model. The record is from RNAcentral.
AUUGAACGCUGGCGGCAUGCCUUACACAUGCAAGUCGAACGGCAGCGGACCUUCGGGUGCCGGCGAGUGGCGAACGGGUGAGUAAUAUAUCGGAACGUACCUUUCAGUGGGGGAUAACGUAGCGAAAGUUACGCUAAUACCGCAUAUUCUGUGAGCAGGAAAGCAGGGGAUCGCAAGACCUUGCGCUGAUUGAGCGGCCGAUAUCAGAUUAGCUAGUUGGUGAGGUAAAGGCUCACCAAGGCGACGAUCUGUAGCGGGUCUGAGAGGAUGAUCCGCCACACUGGAACUGAGACACGGUCCAGACUCCUACGGGAGGCAGCAGUGGGGGAAUUUUGGACAAUGGGCGCAAGCCUGAUCCAGCCAUGCCGCGUGAGUGAAGAAGGCCUGUGUAAGAUCUUCGUCGGACGAAUACGCACGGUAGUAACCUCGUGUGGAGUG